RNAcentral lists this ribosomal RNA (497 nucleotides) under uncultured bacterium. Its description in RNAcentral is "partial 16S ribosomal RNA". It matches the Rfam family "Bacterial small subunit ribosomal RNA", at positions 28 to 507 of the family's 1533-position model. The record is from RNAcentral.
GAUGAACGCUGGCGGCGUGCCUAAUACAUGCAAGUCGAGCGAACAGACGAGGAGCUUGCUCCUCUGACGUUAGCGGCGGACGGGUGAGUAACACGUGGAUAACCUACCUAUAAGACUGGGAUAACUUCGGGAAACCGGAGCUAAUACCGGAUAAUAUAUUGAACCGCAUGGUUCAAUAGUGAAAGACGGUUUUGCUGUCACUUAUAGAUGGAUCCGCGCCGCAUUAGCUAGUUGGUAAGGUAACGGCUUACCAAGGCGACGAUGCGUAGCCGACCUGAGAGGGUGAUCGGCCACUCUGGAACUGAGACACGGUCCAGACUCCUACGGGAGGCAGCAGUAGGGAAUCUUCCGCAAUGGGCGAAAGCCUGACAGAGCAACGCCGCGUGAGUGAUGAAGGUCUUCGGAUCGUAAAACUCUGUUAUUAGGGAAGAACAAAUGUGUAAGUAACUAUGCACGUCUUGACGGUACCUAAUCAGAAAGCCACGGCUAACUACGUG